CAGAAGUCAAUCUGUGAGGAUCAUUAUUGUACUUUACUCAAAGUAAACAAACAAAAUGGCUUCCAGAACAAAGCUUGCCUCAUUCAGAUCUUGUUAUCUUUCUGAAUCUGAAAAAGCUGUGACACCACAGUUUCCAUCACAUUGUCGUCUUGGGGAAGUAUAUAGGAAUAUUGCAGACACAUAUUUUAUAAAACCUACAAAGGAAAAGCUUAAUUUCUAAAAAAUCUUUAGAACUCAUGUUUAAUGGCAGUGAACGAAGCGCACUGAAGAUUCUUUACAUGCUCUAUGUUCUCACGGAAUGCACGUGAUCACAAUCGCAGUUGUGAGUAUAACGUACUGUUUAAACAUAUGUGUAAAAAGUCAUAAAAACUGCUCGCGUAUUAAUGAGACGUUGCGUAUAUGUGAUUGCUUCCCUUAGUAAAUAUUUUAGGUACUCAGUCAGCCGUAAGCGAUUGACCUAAGGAAGUAUCACAAAGGUCCCGGAAUCGACUCCAGCCGGAAACACAAAUAUUUUUUUUUGUGUUGAAUCAUGCUCUCCAGUUACAUAUAAAUAAACAACACACGGCAACAUUAAUUUACACAUACCAGGAAUAUUAUUAUAUGUAUUAGUCAUGAUUACAUCUUUUACAGGGUAAAAUGAUCAUUUUCAUUUAAUAACGAUCAAUCGUUUAUUUGGUACAAAUGCAUGCCCUUGCAGACACAUGAUAUAUAUCGAAUAUAAUUUCAUCAUAGAGUCCAGGAUUAUUAAAAGCAACAGUUGUAUACAGCUGUUCAAAAGUAAUGAAUACAUAUAUGUAUUAUUUAUAUUUAUAUGUGUCAUUCAUAAAAGAAAACAUGUAUAAAUAAUUUACAUAUAUGUGUCAGUUAUAAAAAAAAAAAACAAACAAAAAACUUUGUCUUCAAGUUGCGUUCACGCUCGCCUAUUCUCACAAUGUACUAACGUCUUUGACAAAAGGCGUGCUAUUAAAACAUAAAUGUGAUCGAACAGAUGUAGAAAAAAAUACGACUGAAAUCAAUUAAAUAAAAAUAACAAUAAAAAUUGUUUACGCCAAAUGAGCAUUUCGUUUGCGUGCGUCUGCUUUACAUAUUUAUUCUAAUGAUUGAAAUUAUGUUGUUAGUCGUAGAAAAAAAGGUUAUAUAAAGAGUCUUUAUGUAGACGAAACGCGCGUCUGGCGUACUUAAUUAUAAUCCUGAUCCCUUUGAUAACUAUUUACACCACUGGGUAAAUGCCACAAUAAUGUGGUCAUUUUUAUAAAUUUCCUGUAUACAAGGAGGUUUUGACUAAUUCGGAUGUGUCUAUUUUUUGUGUUGGAUUUUGUCGGGUUAUGUAAUGUAUUUCGGUUGUUUCCUGUAAUUAGUUAAUACUUCAGUUUUAUCAUGUAUAUCUUUUAUAUAGUAUAAUAUUUACUGUAAGUAUAAAUUAUUCUAAACAAUAGUGAUGUUCUGGUACCUAACAGAAAACCCUGGCCGUUUUUGGCACAACUUUUUUGAACUUUUGGUCCACGAUGUUGUUCAUUUUUGUACUUGUUUCGGCUUUCAAACUUUUGUAUCUGGGCGUCACUAGUAUGUCUUGUGUGGACAAAAUGCACUUCUGGCGUAUUAAAUUUUAAACCUGUUGCCUUUUGUUAGCUAUUAUUCGUGUGUUUCUUUGUCAAUUGUGUUCUCCUAUUUAUUUGUAUUGUAGUCCUGUAAUAUUGUGUUGUCAUUUUAAUGUGAUAUUUCACAUGGCCAUAAAAGAGGGAGGUUUGGCAUGCCACAAAACCAGGUUCAACCCACCAUUUUUUUCUUUUAAAAAAUAUCCUAAACCAAGUCAGGAAUAUGGUCAUUGUUAUAUUAUAGUUCGUUUCUGUGUGUGUUACAAUUCAACGUUGUGUUUCUUUUGUGUCGUUUGUUUCCUCUUAUAUUUGAGUGUAAAUUCACAUUUUUAUAAGACGUGUCACGGUACUUUUCUAUCCCAAAUUCAUGUAUUUAGUUUCGAUGUUAUAUUUGUUAUUCGCAUCGGAUUUUGUCUAACGCUUAGUUCGUUUCUGUGUGUGUUACAUUUUAAUGUUGUGUCGUCAUUUUCUUGUAUUUAAUGCGUUUCCUUCGGUUUUGGUUUAUGACCAGGAUUUGUUUUUAUCUAUCGAUUUAUGAGUUUUGAUCAUCGGUAUACUAUUGUUGCCUUUAUUUAUCCACUCGUAUUAUAUUAAACAAGGGGUAGCCUGCGAAACCUUAUCCUGUUAAAAGAAGAGUGCCGAAAGAUACCAGAAGGACAGUCAAAUUCAUAGAUUGAAAAUAAACUGACUAUGUUAUGGCUAUCAAAUUUAAAGACAAAUAGACAAAUAAAAGUACAGAAGACACAACAUAGAAGACUUAAGACUAAGCAAGACGAACCCCACCAAAAAUUGCGGGUGCUCUCAGUUGCUUCUAUUCAUGUAACAAGACCUAAAUCAAGUAAAACCUGUCUGUAUAUACUAUAUACCCGCAAAGACACAAACAAAAAAGACACAAACUGAAUAUAGUUAUCAAAGGUACCAGGAUUAUAAUUUUGUACGCAAGACGCGCGUUUCGUCUACAUAAGACUCAUCAGUGACGCUCAUAUCCAAAUAUUUAUAAAGCCAACCAAGUACAAAGUUGAAGAGCAUUGAGGUUCCAAAAUUCCCAAAAGUGGUGCAAAAUACGGCUAAGGUAAUCUACGCCUGGGAUAAGAAAAUCCUUAGUUUUUCGUAAAAUUCAAAGUUUUGUAAACAGGAAAUUUAUAAAAAUGACCACAUUAUUGAUAUUCAUGUCAACAUCGAAAUGUUGACUACUGGGCUGUUGAUACCCUCGGGGACGAAACGUCCACCAGCAGUGGCAUCGACCCAGUGGUGUAAAUAGUUAUCAAAGGUACCAUGAUUAUAAUUUUGUACGCCAGACGCGCGUUUCGUCUACAUAAGACUCAUCAGUGACGCUCAUAUCCAAAUAUUUAUAAAACCAAACAAGUACAAAGUUGAACAGCAUUGAGGAUCCGAAAUUCCCAAAAGUGGUGCCAAAUACGGCUAAGGUAAUCUACGCCUGAACAUACAUUGAAUCACAUGUUAUCCCAGUCCUUACCUCUUUCCGUGAUGCAAAAGUUGCUAACAAUUUACUACUCAACUAUAUUAUUAUUUUUCAUUAUUAUUUUCAGAAUGAGAAUCAUUAGUUCUUAAACAAACGCAGAAACAUUGGGAUGUACGCUUAAAUCUGUUCAAUACUGAUAUUUUGUACAAACAAACCUUGACAGAAAAGCAGCAACGUUGAGGAUAUACAUUUACGUCCGUUCAAUACUGAUAUGCUGGUACAAAAUAACCUUGACAGAAAAGCAGCAACGUUGAGGAUAUACAUUUAAGUCCGUUCAAUACUGAUAUGCUGGUACAAAAUAACCUUGACAGAAAAGCAGCAACGUUGAGGAUGUACAUUUAAGUCCGUUCAAUACUGAUAUGCUGGUAAAAUCUAACCCUGACAGUAAAGCAGCAACGUUGAGAAAUUUCACCGAAAAGCGUUCAAACUUUUACAAAUCUUCGUGAAAUUGUAAAAUACAUUUUAUUAAUUCAGUUGAUGGAAUAAAUAUGUGAAAGCAAUUGCAUAUGUGAUACAUCACUGAUUUGUUAUAUUACUGAGAUGAAAUCACUUCAAUGUGUGAUUCAAAAUAGACAUUGCCUUAUGUUAUGUGUUUAAUCAUUAUUAUCUUGUCAAAUGAAACAGACGAUAUGCCAAUCAAAAUUAUUAACAAACACAUGUAAGAUCAUCUUUCUCCGAGGGAAUUGCAUUCUUAAAUUCUACCAGAAAGUUGCAUUAGAACUACAUUUGUAAAUCCGGCUAGUACUGUCUAAUAUUCGCAGUCUGUCUGUGAUAUGAUUCUUAGCUUUGUGAAUAAAAGUC
RNAcentral lists this long non-coding RNA (3879 nucleotides) under Mytilus galloprovincialis (Mediterranean mussel). The record is from RNAcentral. Lineage: Eukaryota; Metazoa; Mollusca; Bivalvia; Mytilida; Mytilidae.